This 357-nucleotide long non-coding RNA is filed under the name Lactuca sativa (garden lettuce). RNAcentral's name for it is "long non-coding RNA (LSAT_LNC000041)". The record is from RNAcentral. Lineage: Eukaryota; Viridiplantae; Streptophyta; Magnoliopsida; Asterales; Asteraceae.
GUGGUCAAUGGCUGAGCAGCACCACAAGACACGUGAGAAUCUUUGCAGCAUAUAUCGACCCUGAGACAUGUGCUUUCGAUCAAACACAGAUGGAUAAGCUCACCCUUAUCCUUGAUCCCACGGAUGAGUUUGUUUGGACGCCGGAAACCUGCAACAUGGUUUACUCGUACUUUCAGGAGCUUGUUGACCACUAUGAGGUAAUGCUUAAUUUCCCAACGUAUUUUUAAUUUAAACACUUGUUUUUACCUAUUAAUGUGUUAUUAUAGUCUAUACUUUGGAAAAACUACAUAGUUAUGUCAAUAUAUUUCAUAAAAAAGAAAAAUUCUGUAUUUAAGUUUUGAAUGUUUGUGAUGCUGU